This 397-nucleotide ribosomal RNA is filed under the name uncultured bacterium. RNAcentral's name for it is "partial 16S ribosomal RNA". It matches the Rfam family "Bacterial small subunit ribosomal RNA", at positions 523 to 918 of the family's 1533-position model. The record is from RNAcentral.
AUACGUAGGGGGCGAGCGUUGUCCGGAAUGAUUGGGCGUAAAGGGCGCGUAGGCGGCCUGUUAAGUCUGGAGUGAAAGUCCUGUUUUUAAGAUGGGAAUUGCUUUGGAUACUGUCGGGCUUGAGUGCAGGAGAGGUAAGUGGAAUUCCCAGUGUAGCGGUGAAAUGCGUAGAGAUUGGGAGGAACACCAGUGGCGAAGGCGACUUACUGGACUGUAACUGACGCUGAGGCGCGAAAGUGUGGGGAGCAAACAGGAUUAGAUACCCUGGUAGUCCACACUGUAAACGAUGAAUGCUAGGUGUAGGGGGUAUCGACCCCUUCUGUGCCGCAGUCAACACAAUAAGCAUUCCGCCUGGGGAGUACGGCCGCAAGGUUGAAACUCAAAGGAAUUGGCGGGG